CAAUAGCGUAUAUUUAAGUUGCUGCAGUUAAAAAGCUCGUAGUUGGAUUUCGGGUGGGAAUGGCCGGUCCGCCGUUUCGGUGUGCACUUGCUACGCCCACCUUGCUGCCGGGGACGUGCUCUUGAGUUCACGCUCGGGACACGGAGUCGGCGAGGUUACUUUGAGUAAAUUAGAGUGUUCAAAGCAGGCCUACGCUCUGAAUACAUUAGCAUGGAAUAACACGAUAGGACUCUGGCCUAUCUUGUUGGUCUGUAGGACCGGAGUAAUGAUUAAGAGGGACAGUCGGGGGCAUUCGUAUUUCAUUGUCAGAGGUGAAAUUCUUGGAUUUAUGAAAGACGAACUACUGCGACAGCAUUUGCCAAGGAUGUUUUCAUUAA
RNAcentral lists this ribosomal RNA (377 nucleotides) under uncultured eukaryote. Its description in RNAcentral is "partial 18S ribosomal RNA". It matches the Rfam family "Eukaryotic small subunit ribosomal RNA", at positions 592 to 976 of the family's 1831-position model. The record is from RNAcentral.